Mauremys reevesii (Reeves's turtle) is the source of this 938-nucleotide long non-coding RNA. RefSeq lists it as uncharacterized. Lineage: Eukaryota; Metazoa; Chordata; Testudines; Geoemydidae. The transcript is spliced from 3 exons. The record is from RefSeq and is a predicted model, not a curated record.
CUGUGGGGAAAUGGUCUGCAGUCUCUCCCUGAACAGAGAGAGCUGGCAAAGCCAGAGAGAAGAAGCCAAAGGAAACAGUAGCUAGGGAUAGGACUAUACAGGGACCAGGGCUGCUUGUGACAGGCUCCUUGGGCUGGAAUCCAGUGUACAGGGUGGGCCUGGGUUCCCCUACCAGCCACUGGGAAGUGGCAUUGGAGAUGCCAGCCAGCAGGUUGGGAAAGACUGAGUUCCCUUGAAGAGGACCUUAGUGGCCAAGCCACAAAGAGGAGGCAGGAGGAGCGGGACAGCGGAGCGAGGGAAGAUGGAAGUAGCUGCUACUGGAGGGAGAGUGCAAGCUGGUGGCGCUAAUCCCCAAAAUGUCCAGCAGGAGGCACCAUGAGCUUGGUUAAAAAGAGACUCAUUUUUACCAGCUCUUCCUUGCCAUCAAUCUUGAGAAACCUGGACUCUUGAGAGGAGCAAAAGGAGCUACAUCUUUGCCAAGAGAAGUUUUCAUCGGAAAAGAGAUCUAUGAUGCGGAGUCUGCCUAGGGACAUGGUGGCACUUGAAAAUCUUGAAAUUAGACAGGAUCAGACACUACAAUAUGUACAUCUUCUUGCAAAGGCAGAAUCAAGUUUCUCCACAGUCUCCAUCUUCGAUUUUCCCAUGUUGGAUCCGCCCAGUAAUGGGCCAUUAAAGAUCCAUUUCAACGUUGGAAGCAGAGGAUGGUUACCGUGCUAGUGGGGAAAGUCAGAGGUUUCUGAACUGGUAAGCCAAGAUAAAAGAAACAAUAUAUUGUGUUAAAGCAUUGUGUGGUGCUGGGAACUGGGGAAAAAUAGCUUGGAACCAGAAUAUUCUGGUAAGCCAAGUGCAAAUAUUGUUUUGAGACAGUGUAUGGUGCCGGGGAACCGGGGAUUAAAUACAACUUGGAACCAGUAUAUUGAGAGAGGAGAAACACACAA